This 914-nucleotide ribosomal RNA is filed under the name uncultured Desulfobacteraceae bacterium. RNAcentral describes it as "bacterial SSU rRNA". It matches the Rfam family "Bacterial small subunit ribosomal RNA", at positions 8 to 916 of the family's 1533-position model. Lineage: Bacteria; Pseudomonadati; Thermodesulfobacteriota; Desulfobacteria; Desulfobacterales; Desulfobacteraceae. The record is from RNAcentral.
AGAGUUUGAUCCUGGCUCAGAACGAACGCUGGCGGCGUGCUUAACACAUGCAAGUCGAACGCGAACGCUUCCUUCGGGAAACUAGUAGAGUGGCGCACGGGUGAGUAACGCGUAAGUAAUCUACCCUCGCAUCUGGGAUAACCCACCGAAAGGUGUGCUAAUACCUGAUACGUCUGGAAUUAUACUUUGAAUUUAGAGAAAGGUGGCCUCUUCAUGAAAGCUACUGUGCGGGGAGGAGCUUGCGUACCAUUAGCUAGUUGGUAGGGUAACGGCCUACCAAGGCGAUGAUGGUUAGCGGGUCUGAGAGGAUGAUCCGCCACACUGGAACUGAAACACGGACCAGACUCCUACGGGAGGCAGCAGUGAGGAAUAUUGCGCAAUGGGGGCAACCCUGACGCAGCGACGCCGCGUGGAUGAUGAAGGCCUUCGGGUUGUAAAAUCCUGUCAGAUGGGAAGAAGUGGUAGUUGGUUAAUAUCCAUCUACUUUGACGGUACCAUCAAAGGAAGCACCGGCUAACUCCGUGCCAGCAGCCGCGGUAAUACGGAGGGUGCAAGCGUUGUUCGGAAUUACUGGGCGUAAAGCGCGCGUAGGCGGCUAUUCAAGUCAGAUGUGAAAGCCCGCGGCUCAACCGUGGAAGUGCAUUUGAAACUGGGUGGCUUGAGUACUGGAGGGGGUAGUGGAAUUCCCGGUGUAGAGGUGAAAUUCGUAGAUAUCGGGAGGAACACCGGUGGCGAAGGCGACUACCUGGCCAGAUACUGACGCUGAGUGCGAAGCGUGGGGAGCAAACAGGAUUAGAUACCCUGCUAGUCACCGCGUAACGAUGUCCACUAGUGUGGGAUGAUAAUCGUCUCAUGCCGAGCUACGCAUAGUGACCGCUGGGGAGUACCGUCCAGAAAACUCAAGGAAUUGACGG